This 927-nucleotide long non-coding RNA is filed under the name Androctonus crassicauda. Lineage: Eukaryota; Metazoa; Arthropoda; Arachnida; Scorpiones; Buthidae. The record is from RNAcentral.
CCUUCCUAUAAUUUCGAUUGAUAAAUUUUGUAAAUUCUGCAUUUGCUGUUUUACAUUUUAUUAAAUACUAAUAUUGUUAAAAAUUAAGUUAAAUUUUUACAAGAUUAAAAUAGUUAACAUUUAGAAAUUGCUAUAAAAUUACAUUUAUGAAUAAAUAUAUAGGGCAAAGCAUUUCUAUAAUAUUCAGCUGGGUCAGCCAGUUGGCCACAUAGAAUCGUUUCGACUUUAUACCUAGAAUGCUGGGUUCGAAUCCUGGACUAUCCAUUGGAAAAUUUAUAUGGGGAUCCGGCCUGGGUCUACCAGAUAACCAUGUGAUAAAGCAGUGGCUUAUCAUCUUGGAGGAUCCGAGUUCAAUUUCGGGUUUCAUAUUUACAGUUUUUCAAAAACAGUCCGGGCCCAGCCCAUUGAAUCCCAUGAUGGAUGUUGGCCAGAUUUUCGUGAGUUCUAAAAGCCACAUAAUAACCGCCACUAGAUAAAGUAUAUAUAUUCCAUGUGCGAUAUGGCAGCUUAAAUUAACUAAACCUAAUGUAACCAGAUAUAACUAUCUCCGUUCUCAACAAUCUGGCCGAAUCAAUCACGGAUGUGGGUGGCCUGUGGCAGGAUUAAAUUUUCUCAGUCUCCUUAGAAACUGCUGUCAUCUAUUGACAAAAUAAUAAUAAUCCGGCCGAUUCCAUUCUAAAUAUAUUCAACUCCUCGUGGUGGGUUCUGGAAUGUCUCAAAGUUUAAUAAUUCUAAAUAAAAUAAUUUAUUUCAUAAAAUAACUGAAAAAUUAGAUAGAGUUCUAUAAUAAGUCCUUUAUUAAGAGAAUAAACAUUACAAUAUAAAAAAAGUAUUUUCAAAAUACACAGACUAAUACUUUUAUUAUGUCGGCCGGAUUGGCCGCGUGGAAACGCUUCGGCUUUCCACUCUGGAGAAUCCAGGUUCGAG